UGGGGAAUAUUGCACAAUGGGCGCAAGCCUGAUGCAGCCAUGCCGCGUGUGUGAAGAAGGCCUUCGGGUUGUAAAGUACUUUCAGCGGGGAGGAAGGGAGUAAAGUUAAUACCUUUGCUCAUUGACGUUACCCGCAGAAGAAGCACCGGCUAACUCCGUGCCAGCAGCCGCGGUAAUACGGAGGGUGCAAGCGUUAAUCGGAAUUACUGGGCGUAAAGCGCACGCAGGCGGUCUGUCAAGUCGGAUGUGAAAUCCCCGGGCUCAACCUGGGAACUGCAUUCGAAACUGGCAGGCUAGAGUCUUGUAGAGGGGGGUAGAAUUCCAGGUGUAGCGGUGAAAUGCGUAGAGAUCUGGAGGAAUACCGGUGGCGAAGGCGGCCCCCUGGACAAAGACUGACGCGCAGGUGCGAAAGCGUGGGGAGCAAACAGG
This 429-nucleotide ribosomal RNA is filed under the name Chloroflexota bacterium. RNAcentral's name for it is "Chloroflexi bacterium partial 16S ribosomal RNA". It matches the Rfam family "Bacterial small subunit ribosomal RNA", at positions 355 to 776 of the family's 1533-position model. Lineage: Bacteria; Bacillati; Chloroflexota. The record is from RNAcentral.